RNAcentral lists this long non-coding RNA (2494 nucleotides) under Setaria italica (foxtail millet). RNAcentral describes it as "long non-coding RNA (SITA_LNC001324)". Lineage: Eukaryota; Viridiplantae; Streptophyta; Magnoliopsida; Poales; Poaceae. The record is from RNAcentral.
GUUGCGACGAGGGGCUAAUCCCUGUGUCCUCCGUCUCCGCGGAGCGCUCAAGGAAGCGCCCGUGAUCGCAGGCGGAGGUUCCGCGGCACGGACCUGAAGGAGUAGAAGGCGAGCGCGAGACGGCGACGGAGGGGUCAAGAAGCGGGUCGAGGUCAGUAGCGGUGGAGAGUGGAUGGAUGACGAGUAUCUCCUCGAAGAAUUCGGCCGCUGCGCCGGUCGCGUCCGGUAACAUAUCACCUCCCGGUGUUCCAAAAUCUCACUCUCUGUCUAGCCUUGUGUUUUCCUAGCUGACGAUAACAUGAAAGAAGGACCCCUCCGCGUUGCCUCUCUGGGCGACGGGAGGGGCGACUCCACCGCCCCACAGAAGCCUCCGCCAGCGGCCCCCUCCGGCCGCCACCGCUGCAGCCUGUCGAGCGGCGGCGGCGGCCCGCGACGGCGCCGAAGCCGGUCCCCUCGCACCACAUCUCCUCCCCCCUUCCCCCAUGUUCUCUUUCUCACUGUGUCGGGCUUGGAGCUCCAGUAGCGCCCAUGGCAAUGGCGGCCGGCCAAGGUAGCGGAUCCGGGGUCUCCUGGGCCAGAUCCGGUCCCUACUCUAUCGGAUCUGGGGUGCUGGCGACGGGACGGAGACGUGAGUGCCGGCGGUGGUGGGUCUCCUGUUCCCCGUUCGGGUGCGAGAGCAGCCAUGCCCGAGCAUGGCACCCGGACUCGGUGCAUCCACGGUGCUUGGUUUCGGCAUGGGGCUGGUCGUGCUCGUGCCCCGGGCCGGCGGUGGCAGGGCUCGAGCUCUCAAGGCCGACGGCAGCGGGGUCGAGCUCGACUCGCUGCGGCGGGGCACGAGCCCGUCCGGCCGGUGGAGACGUGGCUGUGCAACCAGCGCUUGGCCAAGAGCCCCCACGGCCUCCGCGCCGCUCUCGAGGUGCCCGACGACGCGAGGGGUCGGCGUCCUGCCGCUCUUUCAAGUCGUGCUCCCCAGCUUCUCUUCAAGGGCGGCGAAGGCUCCCCGUCAUUCUCGGUGCCUGCGCUGCGCCGACGGGUCGGGAACUCGCCGGGGGAAAUCCUAGCCCGGCGUUAUGCCGUUGCCGACAACAACGACCCCUACAGGUGCCGUUUCCUCCAUGGAGGUGUUGUUUCGAGGCGUUCCCACCCACAUGUUGGUAUGGCCGCGCUUGCGCUGGUUGGAGCGACGCCGGUUGGGAUGGUUCAGUCAGGAGAAAUCCUAGCCCAGCUUUGGCUGGUGCCAUCACCGACGACGCCCUCAGGCGCCGUGGUCCUCCUUGGAGGUGAUGAUGAGAUCGCCCAUCCCGAACUACUGUCGUCCGCCAUGCCACAAAGCUGGUUUGUUCUGCUUGGUGUUCUUAUGCCUUCCUCCUCCUUACUGUUCGUUGGCGAGGCUGUCAUUGGCUGUUUGCCGCCGGCGUGAUUCGGUGAGCGUCCUCUCCUGGGGCCUCUAUUUCGUCAAUGCUCUCCUUGUUGAUGGUGUCAGAAAAUCAAAUGCCGGGUGGUGUAUCCACCGCAUCUGCCAUUCCCCCUCAAGGAUUCCUCCCCUCGAGCGGCGUUGAAUGGUGGUACGUGGAGCUCGGAUGUGCUGGAGGUGGCGCCGUCAGCUCCAAGGGAGGUCGUCGUUUUCCGGUAAGCUUUGGCUUGCGCGUCCUUUCGCCGCUCUAAGUCCCCUUCCUGCUGCGCGGUCACUCAGAUGGAGGGCAGCAGCGGGACGGCGUAGCUACGAGGGGUGGGGCAAGGUGCAACGGUCAUAGUGUAACCGGCAAGUACGUUGUUCGGUGGAGGCGCAAAUCGGUGAUCAAUGGUUGUCUUUCGGUUGUGACAUGUUUUGUCUUUGAAUUGUCUACGAGUUGUGUUCCUCCCGUUCCUCUGUUGUACUCUGGUGUUGUAUCUACCCGUCCCCUUCUACUUCCAUCCUGGCUCUUGAAGCCACUGUAACCGCGCAAAUGUUAUACCAUCGCCGGCUUGCCGGCAUACGUGGUAAUAUAAUUUAGGUGGGACUCUUCGUCCCCCGGUGACCCGUCAAAAAAUUAUGUAUAUAUAUGAAAUUCAUGUGACAAACGGCUCCCAUUUUGUGGUAAUUUUGCCCUUAUAUGUCACAUUGCAUUUGCAACCGUGUUGGUGUUGCUGCAGAUUUUCUACCUAGAUUUAGGGGCGGCGGGUUGCGGAGUACGGCAUGGUGUCCAGCACUCGCCCAGCAUGCGGCACCGCGGCCACGCAGACGCAGCAGACGGGGCCCGUGUAGGCCAGGUAGGAGAUGAGCGGCGAAGGGCGAGGGUUUCUGAAAACGAGGCGGCGGCCAGCGGCCGGCGGCGAGGGAGGUCUAGGUCUCGAGGGAGAAGGCCAAGCGCUCGUAGGAGCCAGCGACAAGGCGAGUGCUUAGUUUUCUUUUUAUCGGAAGUUAACGUAGAGGUAACGGGAAUGGUAGAACGCAAUAACAGAGCAAUCUUUCAAUGAUAAAUAUCUAAACCAGUGGUAUUUUUCUGAAGUGCGG